GACAUAUCACGUUGAAGCAACGGUUCUCGUUCGAUCACCGAAGUUAAGAGACGUUGAAUUUGGUCUGUACCUAGAUGGGUGACCGUUCGAAAAUACCAGGUGCUGUAAG
Acanthosepion pharaonis is the source of this 109-nucleotide non-coding RNA. Lineage: Eukaryota; Metazoa; Mollusca; Cephalopoda; Sepiida; Sepiidae. The record is from the annotation of a GenBank genome assembly.